Cydia pomonella (codling moth) is the source of this 693-nucleotide long non-coding RNA. RefSeq lists it as uncharacterized. The record is from RefSeq and is a predicted model, not a curated record. NCBI's taxonomy places the organism in Eukaryota, Metazoa, Arthropoda, Insecta, Lepidoptera, Tortricidae. The transcript is spliced from 3 exons.
UUUCUGGAGGUUUAUUUAAAUUAUGGCAUCAGGCUUGUAUAACGCUAAAUAAUAUGAUUAAAUUGAAGCAAUAUGACGCUAUAGUUAAGGACGAACAAGAAUAUGUCGGCGAGCAGCGCCGCGCGCACUGGAAGAGCGCGCUGCAGUCGCACGCGCAGCGGGGCCACGCGCAGCUGCCGACACAGCGCACGCGCCGACCGAGCGCAACCUGUCUCGCGUUCUAAAAUAAGUAAAUCUAAUUAAUAAAAUAAACCCGACAUCGACAGCUAAACAGUUAUUGGUUAAUGUGUUUCUUUCAUUUUUUACAACUAUUUUAUAUUACAUCAUGUACUUUUACCAAGGAAUACUUUAUUCAAUAAAACAGGAACUGUUAUGGGACUCCAGUAUUAGCAGCGUUAUAAUGGCAUUGUCGAUGUAUAUAGCGAUGAAGUUUGUUAUUGUGUGGAGCGGACAGCGCGCCCAAAAUGAAGCGGAAACAUUGGAAGCUAAUCUGACCAAGCUGCAAACCUUACUAGUAAAAAGUAUGAUAAUUUUACACAAUUUUCUAUGAUUGAUAUAAUUGUUUAACCCUAACAUUAUAACCUAAACCUUGCUGUUUGAACGGCAAACGUUACACCUAAAUUAAUCAUGUAUCACGCGUUAUUCAUAGACACGCUACAAAUCUCAAUUUGCUAUUGAACGUUUGUCUGAAUG